CAGUCGCCACGGUAAUACGUAGGUGGCAAGCGUUGUCCGGAAUUAUUGGGCGUAAAGGGCUCGCAGGCGGUUUCUUAAGUCUGAUGUGAAAGCCCCCGGCUCAACCGGGGAGGGUCAUUGGAAACUGGGAAACUUGAGUGCAGAAGAGGAGAGUGGAAUUCCACGUGUAGCGGUGAAAUGCGUGGAGAUGUGGAGGAACACCAGUGGCGAAGGCGACUCUCUGGUCUGUAGCUGACGCUGAGGAGCGAAAGCGUGGGGAGCGAACAGGAUUAGAUACCCGGGUAGUCCCUGUCUCUUAUAC
Molecule: ribosomal RNA, 301 nt
Filed under: uncultured bacterium
Lineage: Bacteria
Description: partial 16S ribosomal RNA
Rfam family: Bacterial small subunit ribosomal RNA
Source: RNAcentral